UUGAUCAUGGCUCAGAACGAACGCUGGCGGCAGGCUUAACACAUGCAAGUCGAACGCGUGUAGCAAUACACGAGUGGCGCACGGGUGAGUAACACGUGGAUAUCUGCCUUUUGGUUCGGAAUAACCCUGGGAAACUAGGGCUAAUACCGAAUGGUUCCUACGGGAUAAAGAUUUAUCGCCAAAAGAUGAGUCCGCGUCCGAUUAGCUAGUUGGUGAGGUAACGGCUCACCAAGGCGACGAUCGGUAGCUGGUCUGAGAGGACGAUCAGCCACACUGGGACUGAGACACGGCCCAGACUCCUACGGGAGGCAGCAGUGGGGAAUAUUGGACAAUGGGGGCAACCCUGAUCCAGCCAUGCCGCGUGAGUGAUGAAGGCAUUCGGGUUGUAAAGCUCUUUUGGCGGGCAUGAUGAUG
RNAcentral lists this ribosomal RNA (414 nucleotides) under bacterium Ellin452. RNAcentral describes it as "bacterial SSU rRNA". It matches the Rfam family "Bacterial small subunit ribosomal RNA", at positions 13 to 453 of the family's 1533-position model. Lineage: Bacteria; Pseudomonadati; Pseudomonadota; Alphaproteobacteria. The record is from RNAcentral.